GAUGAACGCUGGCGGCGUGCUUAACACAUGCAAGUCGAACGAAGCACUUUAUUUUAUUUCCUUCGGGACUGAUUCUUUUGUGACUGAGUGGCGGAGGGAUGCGUAACGCGUGGGUAGCCUGCCUUGUACAGGGGGAUACCAGUUGGACACGACUGCUAAUACCGCAUAACCGCUCGUCAUAGCAUGAUGCUGUGUGAAAACCUCCUGUGGUAUAAUAUGGACCCGCGUUGGAUUAGCUAGUAGGUGAGGUAACGGCCCACCAAGGCGAAGAUUCAUAGCUGAGAUUGGAGGGGGACCGGGAACACUGGGACAGAGACCAGGACCAAACUGCUACGGGAGGCAGGAGUGGGGAACAUGGAACAAUGGGCGAAAGACGAAUGCAGAGACGCCGUGUGAGUGAAGUAUAAGAUCGGUAUGUAAAGCUCUAUGAGAAGGGAAGAUAAUGACGGUACCUGACUAAGAAGCAACGGCUAAAUACGUG
RNAcentral lists this ribosomal RNA (481 nucleotides) under uncultured bacterium. Its description in RNAcentral is "partial 16S ribosomal RNA". It matches the Rfam family "Bacterial small subunit ribosomal RNA", at positions 28 to 507 of the family's 1533-position model. The record is from RNAcentral.